CGGCGGACGGGUGAGUAACACGUGGAUAACCUACCUAUAGGACUGGGAUAACUUCGGGAAACCGGAGCUAAUACCGGAUAAUAUAUUGAACCGCAUGGUUCAAUAGUGAAAGACGGUUUUGCUGUCACUUAUAGAUGGAUCCGCGCCGCAUUAGCUAGUUGGUAAGGUAACGGCUUACCAAGGCGACGAUGCGUAGCCGACCUGAGAGGGUGAUCGGCCACACUGGAACUGAGACACGGUCCAG
RNAcentral lists this ribosomal RNA (244 nucleotides) under uncultured Staphylococcus sp. RNAcentral describes it as "partial 16S ribosomal RNA". It matches the Rfam family "Bacterial small subunit ribosomal RNA", at positions 96 to 334 of the family's 1533-position model. Lineage: Bacteria; Bacillati; Bacillota; Bacilli; Caryophanales; Staphylococcaceae. The record is from RNAcentral.